Acanthochromis polyacanthus (spiny chromis) is the source of this 2001-nucleotide long non-coding RNA. RefSeq lists it as uncharacterized. The transcript is spliced from 4 exons. Lineage: Eukaryota; Metazoa; Chordata; Actinopteri; Pomacentridae. The record is from RefSeq and is a predicted model, not a curated record.
AAGAGGAAAAACAACUCACUGUCACCAGGAGGGGAAAAAAGCUCCACAAAUAAGGAAGGAAAUCAACAUGACGAGGUCCAAUCCAGAAAAGAGAUGUUUGAGAAGGGCUGAUCUGAAGGGUUGAGGAUCUACAAAAACACACUGUUGUCCAAACAACAAGAAACAGAAAUCUUAGGGGCUGAAAGGACAAAAACUGGACCUAUGAAGACUGGAAACAAGUUCUCUGGACCAACGAAGGCAAGGUGGAACGAAGACAAACUGGUAAAGCACCAUAAAACAUGGAGGAGGUAGUAUCAUGGUCCAUAACACCCACAGUAAAGCAUGGAGGAGGUAGUAUCAUGGUCCAUAACACCCACAGUAAAGCAUAGAGGAGGUAGUAUCAUGGUCCAUAACACCCACAGUAAAGCAUGGAGGAUGUAGAAUCAUGGUCCAUAACACCCACAGUAAAGCAUGGAGGAUGUAGAAUCAUGGUCCAUAACACCCACAGUAAAGCAUGGAGGAGGUAGUAUCAUGGUCCAUAACACCCACAGUAAAGCAUGGAGGAUGUAGAAUCAUGGUCCAUAACACCCACAGUAAAGCAUGGAGGAGGUAGUAUUAUGGUCCAUAACACCCACAGUAAAGCAUGGAGGAGGUAGUAUCAUGGUCCAUAACACCCACAGUAAAGCAUGGAGGAGGUAGUAUCAUGGUCCAUAACACCCACAGUAAAGCAUGGAGGAGGUAGUAUCAUGGUCCAUAACACCCACAGUAAAGCAUGGAGGAGGUAGUAUCAUGGUCCAUAACACCCACAGUAAAGCAUGGAGGAGGUAGUAUCAUGGUCCAUAACACCCACAGUAAAGCAUGGAGGAUGUAGUAUCAUGGUCCAUAACACCCACAGUAAAGCAUGGAGGAUGUAGUAUCAUGGUCCAUAACACCCACAGUAAAGCAUGGAGGAGGUAGUAUCAUGGUCCAUAACACCCACAGUAAAGCAUGGAGGAUGUAGUAUCAUGGUCCAUAACACCCACAGUAAAGCAUGGAGGAUGUAGUAUCAUGGUCCAUAACACCCACAGUAAAGCAUGGAGGAGGUAGUAUGGUGAGAUGAUGUUCUGCAGGAGUUCUGUUGGAACUUAAGGUUACCAUGAACAGAACCUCUUCAUCCUCCAUCUUCAUCAGUUCCAUCUGGACUCAGACUUGUUGGUCUACAGGUAGUUUUACAGCAGAUCCUGACUAUAAGCUUCUUCUCUUUCAGGGUUACCUAGGCAACAAGAGGAAUGGGUUCUACUACAGAUGGUUUGGACUAUCAGUCUCCAUACGUCUUGAACUGAACCGAUCAGUCAGAGUGGACCAGCAGCUGGUCAUUGAUGAACUUAAAACUGGUUUAGGUGAAGCUCUGGUCUCUCCUCCAAGCUUGUUGGUCUGUGGUGUUCACAUGGAUAAAGUCCGGUUGAAUGGUUUCAUCUUUCAGAUUUAGUUUUAGAACAGGAGGACAGUUUUCUGCUGUCAGAACGUCCAUCUACAUGAAGCUUUAAAUCAGACUUUCCAUCAGCGUCUCCUGAUGGGACUUCUACAGUCAUGUUCCUCUCCAGUGUGACCUCCUUGGGUCUCCUGUCUGUCCUGUUUUUUCUCUCUGUUCUUGGCUUGUGUUCCGUCUCUCCACCGGUUCCUCCUGUUUACGGCGCCAUAAAGCUACAGAGGAGGUCAACAAACAGAAGUUCUCUCUGCAUUCCACUGGGCUCAGCCUAUGGAGGCUUCCUGUCGCCAUGACGACCACACGCACACACACACACACACACACACACACGAACAGGUCGAUGAACUUUCACACUGCCGUCAUCCAGUGUGUCACCUAAAAAACAAUCACCAUGACGACAGGAUGAAAAUGCAUCUUGCUCUUUGUACAGAUGACAAUACAGCGUGUGUGGCCGUCGCCAUAGCAACACAAGGCAUGUGUGUGAACAAAAUGUACAUCCACCUGUACAGACAACGUUUGUCCCAGCAGCCUGGAGACAAAGAAAGUUGUGUUGA